Molecule: ribosomal RNA, 486 nt
Filed under: uncultured bacterium
Lineage: Bacteria
Description: partial 16S ribosomal RNA
Rfam family: Bacterial small subunit ribosomal RNA
Source: RNAcentral
AUUGAACGCUGGCGGCAUGCCUUACACAUGCAAGUCGAACGGCAGCACGGGUGCUUGCACCUGGUGGCGAGUGGCGAACGGGUGAGUAAUACAUCGGAACAUGUCCUGUAGUGGGGGAUAGCCCGGCGAAAGCCGGAUUAAUACCGCAUACGAUCUACGGAUGAAAGCGGGGGACCUUCGGGCCUCGCGCUAUAGGGUUGGCCGAUGGCUGAUUAGCUAGUUGGUGGGGUAAAGGCCUACCAAGGCGACGAUCAGUAGCUGGUCUGAGAGGACGACCAGCCACACUGGGACUGAGACACGGCCCAGACUCCUACGGGAGGCAGCAGUGGGGAAUUUUGGACAAUGGGCGAAAGCCUGAUCCAGCAAUGCCGCGUGUGUGAAGAAGGCCUUCGGGUUGUAAAGCACUUUUGUCCGGAAAGAAUUCCUUGGCUCUAAUACAGUCGGGGGAUGACGGUACCGGAAGAAUAAGCACCGGCUAACUACGUG